This 371-nucleotide ribosomal RNA is filed under the name uncultured bacterium. RNAcentral's name for it is "bacterial SSU rRNA". It matches the Rfam family "Bacterial small subunit ribosomal RNA", at positions 527 to 896 of the family's 1533-position model. The record is from RNAcentral.
GGAGGGUGCAAGCGUUGUUCGGAAUUAUUGGGCGUAAAGCGCGUGCAGGCGGUUGCUUAAGUCUGAUGUGAAAGCCCUGGGCUCAACCCGGGAAGUGCAUUGGAAACUGGGCAACUUGAGUACGGGAGAGGAUAGUGGAAUUCCGAGUGUAGGGGUGAAAUCCGUAGAUAUUCGGAGGAACACCGGUGGCGAAGGCGGCUAUCUGGACCGAUACUGACGCUGAGACGCGAAAGCGUGGGGAGCAAACAGGAUUAGAUACCCUGGUAGUCCACGCCGUAAACGAUGGGUACUAGGUGUUGCGGGUAUUAACCCCUGCAGUGCCGAAGCUAACGCAUUAAGUACCCCGCCUGGGGAGUACGGUCGCAAGACUA